RNAcentral lists this small RNA (1228 nucleotides) under Pan troglodytes (chimpanzee). RNAcentral's name for it is "processed transcript". The record is from RNAcentral. Lineage: Eukaryota; Metazoa; Chordata; Mammalia; Primates; Hominidae.
UUCUUGGGAAAAGUGACUAAGUUGCUAAGAGCGUAUUUAUAGCUGAGCUCUGACGUAAGUGUCAGUGGGGAGGUAGGGCCAGGCCAGGCACAGCAGCAAGGGGGUGGGAAGAGCUGGAAAUUGGGGGCAUCUGACAGUGAAGGUGGGGAGAGGUGGGGUCAGUGACUCCUGCAGCCACUUCUUGUCACUUCCCCUGACUGCCCACUGAUACCAACAGACUCCACUUCAGCCUACAGCUCCCUGCUCACUUUUCACCUGUCCACUCCUCGGUCCCACCACCUGUACCAUGCCCGCCUGUGGCUGCACGUGCUCCCCACCCUUCCUGGCACUCUUUGCUUGAGGAUCUUCCGAUGGGGACCAAGGAGGAGGCGCCAAGGGUCCCGCACUCUCCUGGCUGAGCACCACAUCACCAACCUGGGCUGGCAUGCCUUAACUCUGCCCUCUAGUGGCUUGAGGGGUGAGAAGUCUGGUGUCCUGAAACUGCAACUAGACUGCAGACCCCUAGAAGGCAACAGCACAAUUACUGGACAACCAAGGCGGCUCCUGGACACAGCAGGACACCAGCAUCCCUUCCUAGAGCUUAAGAUCCGAGCCAAUGAGCCUGGAGCAGGCCGGGCCAGGAGGAGGACCCCCACCUGUGAGCCUGCGACCCCCUUAUGUUGCAGGCGAGAUCAUUACGUAGACUUCCAGGAACUGGGAUGGCGGGACUGGAUACUGCAGCCCGAGGGGUACCAGCUGAAUUACUGCAGUGGGCAGUGCCCUCCCCACCUGGCUGGCAGCCCAGGCAUUGCUGCCUCUUUCCAUUCUGCCGUCUUCAGCCUCCUCAAAGCCAACAAUCCUUGGCCUGCCAGUACCUCCUGUUGUGUCCCUACUGCCCGAAGGCCCCUCUCUCUCCUCUACCUGGAUCAUAAUGGCAAUGUGGUCAAGACGGAUGUGCCAGAUAUGGUGGUGGAGGCCUGUGGCUGCAGCUAGCAAGAGGACCUGGGGCUUUGGAGUGAAGAGACCAAGAUGAAGUUUCCCAGGCACAGGGCAUCUGUGACUGGAGGCAUCAGAUUCCUGAUCCACAGCCCAACCCAACAACCACCUGGCAAUAUGACUCACUUGACCCCUAUGGUACCCAAAUGGGCACUUUCUUGUCUGAGACUCUGGCUUAUUCCAGUUCCCCAGCUCUUCUGCUUCGACUCCGAGCGGGUGUCAUGUGUGAGAACGGCCAGCAGAGGGAGCAGAA